Molecule: non-coding RNA, 73 nt
Organism: Stegodyphus mimosarum
Lineage: Eukaryota; Metazoa; Arthropoda; Arachnida; Araneae; Eresidae
Source: Rfam
GCCUUCGUAGCGUAGUGGUCAGCAUACUCGACUCGUAUUCGAAAGAUCCGAGUUUCGAGUCUCGGCGAUGGCA